GCCAUCCUGCAUGGGGCUAUACCAGAUUCCAGUUCUGACCAUCAUGUUCUCUUGGAGGCUGCCAUCUUUAGGUGGUGCGAGGGCAAGGCUUGGUUAGUUCUCUCCAGACAUUGUGACCCCUACCAUGACAAUAGGCAAGGCACAGCCAUACCCAAGGAGGUCACCUUCUGCCCCUGCAGUGGACCAAAGCGGGUUUGGUGUGAGUCCGUUAUCUCUGGGCUGUUACAGGAAGUAAGAGCUGCACAUCUCCAUUUCCGUCCUGGUAAAGUCAGUGUUUCUGUCCUCCGUGCAACCUUGCUGUCGUAGCGUGGGUGUGCAUAGAGGAAAGGCCGCGUGAGGACACAGUGAGAAGAGGGCCAUAAGGCAAGCCAGGAAAAGCGCUCUCACCAGAAACGGAAUUGGCCAGACCUUGAUCAUGGCCUUCCAGCUUCCAGAGCUGUGAGAAGUAAAUUUCCAUCGUUGAA
Long non-coding RNA from Felis catus (domestic cat), 464 nucleotides. RefSeq lists it as uncharacterized. The transcript has 3 exons. Lineage: Eukaryota; Metazoa; Chordata; Mammalia; Carnivora; Felidae. The record is from RefSeq and is a predicted model, not a curated record.